This 4748-nucleotide long non-coding RNA is filed under the name Sus scrofa (pig). Its description in RNAcentral is "lncRNA (ENSSSCG00000056183.1)". The record is from RNAcentral. Lineage: Eukaryota; Metazoa; Chordata; Mammalia; Artiodactyla; Suidae.
GCUUGAGUCUGAAAGCCUGUUUGUUUGAAUCUAGCAAUUAUGAUGUUGGCGAGUGUCGAGAUAUUAGAAGAGGCAGUUAAAAAUAGUAAAUGUCAGAUUUACUGAAAUCUCUCAUGUUUCUAAUUCUAGACUAAGACUAUUGCAUCAUUUCCUCUGUGAUAGAAAGGGGUUAGGUGGAACUAUCCAUACCAUCUUCCCUUUUGCAUUAUAAGUAUGCCCACAAAGCUCUCAGGACUUCUCUGCAGAAUGUCUCCAAUAACUUAUCUAGCUAUUGUGUGUAAAGUUCUCUUAUAGCUUUUCUUUUUUUUUCUUUUUCUUUUUGUGAUGUGUGACUUUUCUGGUGGUUUAUUGUAUUUGUGAAAUGCUACUUCUCUGCUAAGUAAAAUACCCUAUUGUUUGUUCUAACAGCAAAUUGGGUAUCUAAUGGAUCCAACUUAAGUGAAGCCCAUAAAAUUUUCAGUAAAUAUUUUACAGGUUAAGAAUUGUAUGCGUUGAUAUUUACAUGAUGGUAGGUAAUGGUUUUAAAAGCCUUCUUGCCAUGUGCAGAUGAGUGAUGCAGUCUUAAAUUGCCUGAGUGCUUACAUCUUGUAUAUUGUCAUUUGGCUAGCAAAUAGAAACUGUAGAUAAAGAAGUUUUAUAUAUUUAAAAUGGCAGAAAUAAACUGAGCUGAAUGGAUUUUCCUUUUAAAAUCUCUAGGCUUUACUAAUUACUAUUAUUAAGAAUUUAUAUGGUACUUUGUGUUUGCAAAUACUGUACAGGCAGCAAUUUACCUGGGAUAAUUCUUGCUAUUAUUUUCACCAUUUUAUAUGUUGGUAAAGCUAACAAGCAAAAAUUAAAUCUUCUUGUGAUGUGUGUGUGUGUGUGUGUGUGUGUGUAUUUUAAGGGCAUGGCAAAUUCCUGAUGAAAAUAAUGAGACUUUCUUCUCAACCCACUGUGGCUUUCGUGGUAAUUCAGUUGAAAUAAUAGUAAAAAUUAAUCAGUAACUUCAGAUUUCAAUAGAACAUAAUGCUAGAACACUUGGUGAUAAUUUUUGCAUGUAUUCAACAUUUGGAGGCAUACCCAUUUUGUCCAGUUUCAGUCCUUGGGGAAAGAUGUUACCUCAGUGUCAUUUAUGGCUCGCUUGUUCAUUGGCAAUAUAGUAACAUGAUUGGUGUACCUCUUUAGGAUUUAAAAAACUUUUUUUUAUUAAAGUAUGGUUGAUUUACAGUAUAGCAAAGUUACCCAGUCACACACACACACACACACACACACACACACACACUCACACUCACACACACAUAUAUAUACAGACACACUCAUUCUUUUUCUUUUAUUUUUGAUCAUGGCUAUAUCUCAAGAGAUUGGAUAUAGUUCCCUGUGCCAUACAGCAGGACUUCAUUGCUUAGCCAUUCUUUUAGGAUUUUUAUUAAACAUGUACUAAUUAAUUCCUAAUUUGGCUCUGGCAUUGCUCAAGGGAGGGAGAGCAAAAAUUUAAGUUCCAGAGGAGCCAUUUCUUUCUAGGGAUACAGAUUCAUAAGCAACCACAGUUAAGGAUGGUGAACUGAAUAAUGGUGAUGAGUGCAUCUGGCAAAUCAAGAGUUGCUGUAGGAAAUGAGGCAACAGAAUGAUUCUUUCUAAACCACGGAAGCAGAAUUUGUAUUUGAUAAGUAUGGAUGUAGUCAUGCUUGCUAUUUGCCAAGUAUUGUCUGAAGAACUUUACUCAUAUUAACUCAGUUCUCAUAAGAUUCUCCGCAGGAAGUACUAUCGGUAUUUCCAUUUGUGGUUAGGGUUCCAAGGCACAGGGAGACUAAGAAACAUGCCCAAGUCACAAAGUUAACAAAUAUCAGAGGCAUGAUUCAGACUCAGGCUGUUUGGUGUAACUGUCCUUACUUCUAACCACUAUUCUAUGUUACCUAAGCAUUUGUGACACAAACACAAGAAUGCAAUUUAUUUUCAUCAUAUUUCUCAAUUACAGAUGUAUAUGUUUACAAUUUAUUUUGAUUUGAAAUAAACAUUUUGAGUUUUAUGUAAAUCCAGUAGAGGACUUGAAGACACCCCCAGAAUAUUUUCAAAUAGAUGUUAGGAAUCAAAGAGAACAGAGCUGAUAUCUUACAUGUGCACUAGGCCUAUGAGUUCAAGUAUAAAAAACUGUCUUCAUUUCAGCAAAGAAAUAUGGUCUCAUUUUUCUUGCUUUGGUGGCCUUCCUGUCUCUCCUUUAUAUUCCUACUUUAUACAGAGAAAUGAAUGUAAGAAUAUUUCACUGUCUUCUUGAUGCUACAAGAAAAACAUCAGCUCAAGUAUGAUGCGGAGUGACAGCCUGUGCUCAGCAUGAGUGUCACGAAACGGUAGCGUGACAGAGGCAUCUUGACUCUGCAGAUUUUUGCAGUGGACAGUUACAGGUCUGAUGUGGAUUUCCUGUGCCCUGAAAGAGGAGAGAAAUGACAUACAGCCCCACACUCACAAUACAAAUACCUAUCUUGAAUUGUGAUUUUCUUUAGUUAGCGAUAGCUUGAGAAAGCAAACAGAAACAACAGUCAACCCACUGUUAGGACCGAUACUGUGUUAACCAAUAUAAACCUGGCUGCAGGCUGAGCUUCAAAGUCUGGACCUUGUCAAAGCAAGAGUGAAAUCAGGCAACUGAAAUUGGAGGCACACACCAGGGCACCUGACGUUGAAGUGAAUGGAAUUCGUUUGUUUUCUCUUCUGCCAGGAGACACUAAUGGCACACCUCAGUGUCUGAAACGUCAGAUAUCCUCCUCCUUGUGUCCAAGUCUGUAUCUAAUAGAAUGGGCUAGUCUGUGGCAAGAAAACAAAUUGACACCACAGAGGCUUAUUUCUGGAAAAACCAUUUGUCUGUGGAUCGUUGGCUGGGCAUUACGUCUGGGAUUACAGAGUAGCAACUGUCUCAGUUAUGGUGAGUGAGUCACUCACAGGGAGAACAGGAGAGAACCUUUCUCCUUAGUUAAAUGUUCUGCCAUUUAUUUGGUCCAAACAGACACACAGCAUCUCCUAGUUACACACAAAAACGAAACAAACAAACAAAACAGGGCAUGGGGAAUUCUUGUAGGGAGCAGGGAAAAAGGUAGAUAUAUAUUUGGGUAAAAACUCAAUUACUUUUAGAUUGACCACUCAAUGAAAGACAGGCUACUCCUAAUCAAUUAAUAGGCCAAACACAUUAUGAUUGGUUAGAUUAAGCUUAAAGAAAGUCACUUGCGACUUCUACCUCCCAUUAGUAAAUACGGCCCGUACUUAUUCUAGUAGUAUUCUAUCCUAAUUAUUUUAGUGGGAGUGAGAGGAACUUUUAUACGAUGAUUCUUGUUUGCCUUCUUCCUCUCACGUAAAAGUGGGUACGAUCAGAAUCCCAAUACAUUCAUUACUGUAAGAGGCAUCACCAGCUAUUUUAUUGACAUUUCUAAAUGAGAAAUGAGAAAAGGCCAAGAUUAACUAGAUUCAAAGGUAUUUAAUAUCAGAAAUUAUAUUCAAAUAGGGCUUUGGAAGCAUUUACUGUUGUCUGUAAAGGACUUACUCUUAGGUAUCUAUUGAAACAGAUAUUAUUUUUGCACAAAAUAGGAGCUGUGUUUAAUGGCAGAGUCAAGAAAGUCAUACCAUAUUGAGACUAUACUAGUGGUGUGAACCACAUAAAAUGAGAGACAUGAACAAAAAACAGGGAAACAUAGUAAAAGAGAGGUGGUCAUGCAAUGCUAUGCAGAUCCAGAGAUGGCUAAAAAUGAAAAGCUUUUGCCUGAUGGAGCAACAGUGAAGUGAGCUCUUGGUAUAUGUGAUAUUCCAAAAAACACCCUCAAACACAUAAUCUGUGUCUAUAUGGCAAAGGCAAACAAGGUCAUAAAAAUUUGAAAUGUACGCAGUGUUCAGCUGACAAGAUGUUUUUAUUUAUCACUGGAGGUUCAUGCCAGGUGUCAUCUGUAGGACACUAUGCCUGGAAGCCUGCGGUAAAAAUUCUUAAUUUUCCAUUCCUUAAAGUAAUAUUUUCUCUUUUUUCAGCAUUGCCUCAGCACUUACUUAAAUUUCUGCCAAAGCACCUUUCAAAUAUAACUUGGGUUGUGCUUACUUGUGCCUGUAUCUCACAAAAAGAAAGGAGAAAGAAAACCCCACAUCACCAGCUCUGAGAGCACAGGGGUGUGCCUUAUUUGUUUUGGGAAUUACCCACAUUGACUAUCAUAUUAUAUGCUCUAAAUAGCUGUCUGGAGUGCAGCUGAAUUUGUCUGUAAUCCCUUCUUCCACCAGGGGAAGCACAUUAGUUUAACACUACAGAGUGGUAAAUGUGAAUUAUGUUUUAUUUAGUGUGAAGUUCACCAGUUUACAUAGGUGAUGGAAAUGUAACAGUGAGGAACUUACCUCAGGUACCACGCAUUGCCUACUUAUAAAUAAAUUCUAAAUACAGAGAGAACAGCAUCUUCCAAAGUGUUAGCCUUUCUCAAAAUAAACCCUAUGGAGUAAUAAAGCAUAGUGAGCACUUGAAAGUGGAGAAGAGAUAUGAAGUUUUUUAUUUUUCCCAAGAAAUAAAGAGCUUUAAUACAUUUCCGAAUCUUUAUCACACUGUUUGGUUAAACAGUUUCUGUAGCAGAAGAAAAAUCUGAUGUUCAGGUUAUCAAUUUUUUUUUUACUUUAAAAACAUAUCUGUUUUCCACAUGACCAUCAAAAAGCUUAAUUGUAAGAAUCGGUUUUUUGCUGUGGAAUAACGGAUAUUCAGUAUGAGUAAAAGAAAGUCUAGAAAAACUCCCAUUAGUUAUGUUCCACAAGGAGUCAUC